GUGCUUGCUUCGGCAGCACAUAUACUAAAAUUGGAACAAUAAGAUUAGCAUGGCCCCUGUGCAAAGAUUACACGCAAAUUUGUGAAGUGUUCCAUAAAAAA
Molecule: small nuclear RNA, 101 nt
Filed under: Octodon degus (degu)
Lineage: Eukaryota; Metazoa; Chordata; Mammalia; Rodentia; Octodontidae
Source: RNAcentral